AGUCACUGACAUUAGAUACCCGCGUAGUCCAGGGUGUAAACGCUGCAGACUUGGUGUUGGAGGCCCUUUGGGGGCAUUCAGUGCCGGAGAGAAGUUGUUAAGUCUGCUACGUUGGGAGUACGUCCGCAAGGAUGAAACUUAAAGGAAUUGGCGGGGGAGCACCGCAACGGGAGGAGCGUGCGGUUUAAUUGGAUUCAACACCGUAAACUCACCAGGGAAGACUGUUACAUGAAGGCCGAGAUGAAGACUCUGCUAGAUUUUCAG
Molecule: ribosomal RNA, 264 nt
Filed under: uncultured archaeon
Lineage: Archaea
Description: partial 16S ribosomal RNA
Rfam family: Archaeal small subunit ribosomal RNA
Source: RNAcentral